RNAcentral lists this ribosomal RNA (510 nucleotides) under uncultured bacterium. RNAcentral's name for it is "bacterial SSU rRNA". It matches the Rfam family "Bacterial small subunit ribosomal RNA", at positions 17 to 518 of the family's 1533-position model. The record is from RNAcentral.
UUCUGGCUCAGGAUGAACGCUAGCGACAGGCUUAACACAUGCAAGUCGAGGGGCAGCAUAGAAGUAGCAAUACUCGGUGGCGACCGGCGCACGGGUGAGUAACGCGUGUGCAACCUACCUAUCAGAGGGGAAUAACCCGGCGAAAGUCGGACUAAUACCGCAUAAAACAGGGGCACCGCAUGGUGAUAUUUGUUAAAGAAAUUCGCUGAUAGAUGGGCAUGCGUUCCAUUAGGUAGUUGGUGAGGUAACGGCUCACCAAGCCGACGAUGGAUAGGGGAACUGAGAGGUUGGUCCCCCACACUGGUACUGAGACACGGACCAGACUCCUACGGGAGGCAGCAGUGAGGAAUAUUGGUCAAUGGGCGGGAGCCUGAACCAGCCAAGUCGCGUGAAGGAAAAGAAGGAUCUAUGGUUCGUAAACUUCUUUUGCAGGGGAAUAAAGUGCAGGACGUGUCCUGUUUUGUAUGUACCCUGAGAAUAAGGAUCGGCUAACUCCGUGCCAGCAGCUGC